UACGUAGGGUGCGAGCGUUGUCCGGAAUUAUUGGGCGUAAAGGGUAGGUAGGUGGUUACGUAUGUCUGGGGUGAAAUCCCUGAGCUUAACUCAGGAAGUGCCUUGGAAACGGCGUAACUAGAGUACUAGAGAGGUUCGUGGAAUUCCCGGUGUAGCGGUGAAAUGCGUAGAGAUCGGGAGGAACAUCAGAGGCGAAGGCGGCGAACUGGAUAGUAACUGACACUGAACUACGAAAGCGUGGGUAGCAAACAGG
Molecule: ribosomal RNA, 253 nt
Filed under: uncultured bacterium
Lineage: Bacteria
Description: partial 16S ribosomal RNA
Rfam family: Bacterial small subunit ribosomal RNA
Source: RNAcentral